GGACGAACGCUGGCGGCGUGCUUAACACAUGCAAGUCGAGCGGUAAGGCCCCUUCGGGGGUACACGAGCGGCGAACGGGUGAGUAACACGUGAGCAAUCUGCCCUUCACUUUGGGAUAACUCUGGGAAACGAGAGCUAAUACCGAAUACGACCACUUCAGGCAUCUGAUGGUGGUGGAAAGUUCCGGCGGUGAAGGAUGAGCUCGCGGCCUAUCAGCUAGUUGGUGGAGUAACGGCCCACCAAGGCUUCGACGGGUAGCCGGCCUGAGAGGGUGACCGGCCACACUGGGACUGAGACACGGCCCAGACUCCUACGGGAGGCAGCAGUGGGGAAUAUUGGACAAUGGGCGAAAGCCUGAUCCAGCAACGCCGCGUGAGGGAUGACGGCCUCGGUUGUAACGUAC
This 403-nucleotide ribosomal RNA is filed under the name uncultured bacterium. RNAcentral's name for it is "bacterial SSU rRNA". It matches the Rfam family "Bacterial small subunit ribosomal RNA", at positions 27 to 433 of the family's 1533-position model. The record is from RNAcentral.